UGGAGCGUGGCCUAACUGGUAAGGCGCUUUGUUUUGGUCAAAGAGAUUGCUAGUUCGAAUCUAGCCGUUCCAG
RNAcentral lists this transfer RNA (73 nucleotides) under Rhexinema sarcinoideum. Its description in RNAcentral is "tRNA-Gln". It matches the Rfam family "tRNA". From Rfam's summary of the family: Transfer RNA (tRNA) molecules are approximately 80 nucleotides in length. Their secondary structure includes four short double-helical elements and three loops (D, anti-codon, and T loops). Lineage: Eukaryota; Viridiplantae; Chlorophyta; Ulvophyceae; Ulotrichales; Helicodictyaceae. The record is from RNAcentral.